CGUUAAUAUAUGACCCGAUUAGCAGCUUCCGGGAAACCAAAGUUUUUCGUUUCCGGGGGAAGUAUGGUUGCAAAGCUGAAACUUAAAGGAAUUGACGGAAGGGCACCACCAGGAGUGGAGCCUGCGGCUUAAUUUGACUCAACACGGGAAAACUCACCCGGCCCGGACACCGUAAGGAUUGACAGACUGAGAGCUCUUUCUUAAUUCGGUGGGUGGUGGUGCAUGGCCGUUCUUAGUUGGUGGAGCGAUUUGUCUGGUUAAUUCCGAUAACGAACGAGACUCUGGCCUAUUAAAUAGACGAUAUAUUUAAAAGUAUAUCGCGCUUCUUAGAGGGACAAGCGGCGUCUAGCCGCAUGAAAUAGAGCAAUAACAGGUCUGUGAUGCCCUUAGAUGUCCGGGGCUGCACGCGCGCUACACUGAAAGAAUCAGUGUGCGUUACGCCUAGUUCGGAAGAACCGGGUAACCCAAGUAAAUUCUUUCGUGCUUGGGAUAGGGAAUUGCAAUUAUUUCCCUUAAACGAGGAAUUCCCAGUAAAUGCGGGUCAUAAGCUCGCGUUGAUUACGUCCCUG
Molecule: ribosomal RNA, 569 nt
Filed under: Aporcelaimellus sp. MHb23
Lineage: Eukaryota; Metazoa; Nematoda; Enoplea; Dorylaimida; Aporcelaimidae
Description: SSU rRNA
Rfam family: Eukaryotic small subunit ribosomal RNA
Source: RNAcentral